ACUUUGAUAGCUCAGCUGGUAGAGCAGCAGACUAUAGCAUGUGUUUGGUAAAUGGUCCUUAGGUCGCUGGUUCAACUCUAGCUUGAAGGA
This 90-nucleotide transfer RNA is filed under the name Pelodiscus sinensis (Chinese soft-shelled turtle). It matches the Rfam family "tRNA". From Rfam's summary of the family: Transfer RNA (tRNA) molecules are approximately 80 nucleotides in length. Lineage: Eukaryota; Metazoa; Chordata; Testudines; Trionychidae. The record is from Rfam by way of RNAcentral.